UCGAUUAGUUUGAUCAUGGCUCAGGACGAACGCUGGCGGCGUGCUUAACACAUGCAAGUGGAGCGACGAACCAGGGCUUGCCCUGGGGCAAAGCCGCGAACGGGUGAGUAACACGUGGGUAACCUGCCUCGAUGAUCGGGACAACCCGGGGAAACUCGGGCUAAUACCGAAUGUGCUCGCGAGCCUCAAGGCUCGCGCGGAAAGGAAGCUUCGGCCUCCGCAUCGAGAUGGGCCCGCGGCCCAUUAGCUUGUUGGUGGGGUAAUGGCCUACCAAGGCGACGAUGGGUAGCUGGUCUGAGAGGACGAUCAGCCACACUGGGACUGAGACACGGCCCAGACUCCUACGGGAGGCAGCAGUGGGGAAUCUUGCGCAAUGCGCGAAAGCGUGACGCAGCAACGCCGCGUGGGGGAAGACGGCCUUCGGGUUGUAAACCCCUUUCAGUUGGGACGAAGCUCCGUCGGUUAAUAGCCGGCUGGAGUGACGGUACCUUCAGAAGAAGCCCCGGCUGACUACGUGCCAGCAGCCGCGGUAAUACGUAGGGGGCAAGCGUUGUCCGGAAUCAUUGGGCGUAAAGAGCGUGUAGGCGGCCCGGUAAGUCCGCCGUGAAAGUCCAGGGCUCAACCCUGGAAUGCCGGUGGAUACUGUCGGGCUAGAGUCCGGAAGAGGCGAGUGGAAUUCCUGGUGUAGCGGUGAAAUGCGCAGAU
Molecule: ribosomal RNA, 705 nt
Filed under: uncultured bacterium
Lineage: Bacteria
Description: bacterial SSU rRNA
Rfam family: Bacterial small subunit ribosomal RNA
Source: RNAcentral